AAGAGUAGCAAAUAUGAAAGUUUAGUUAAAUAUUAUUGAAUUCAAUUUCAGUAUUUUAGAGAAUAAUAACAUAAAAUACAUAAAUAUUUCAGUUAAAUAUUGCAGUUAUCAUCAUUCAGCUUUAUAUGAUUUCAAUCUUUAGACCAUCCUAUCAAAGCAAGAAGCAUCCCAAAUAUGCCAUCACUUAUCAGAGCCUUCAUUAACUUCUUCUUGCUUUCUGUGUAUGGCGGAUACCUUAUAGAUGCAUCUCCAUUAAAACUUCUGUAGAGAACGGCCUUCUUGUGGCUAAAAGCAUCAAAAGAAAAUUUCCCAUGGUACGAUCCCAUUCCACUCUCCUCAACUCCUCCAAAAGGUAAAGUAUCUACUGUGACAUGGAGUAUUGUAUCAUUAAUGAGCAUUCCUCCAGCCGAUACGUUCUGCACAAAGCUUUCCUUUAGCUUCUCAUCAUUGGUGAAGAGAUAUGCUGCAAGAGGUUUUGGUUUUGAGUUUAUCGCAUCAAAACUGUCCUUCACAUUUUCAACAGUGAUAAUAGGAAGUAAUGGCCCAAAUAUCUCAUCCUGCAUUAUCUGAGAAUCUUUAGGAACGUCCAAUAAUAUGGUUGGUGCCAUCCUUCUGCAAUGUAAGUUAAUUAUCACACAACCAUUGAUUUGUACUGCUACUCAUGUACACCAUCGUCAUGUUACAUAUGUUGUUCAAAAGAAGGUUUAAAAAAACCAAAAAAGUGAAAUUAAUAAAACAAACCCACAAUUUGUUUUGAUCCCUUUGGCCUCCUAGUACAAUUUUGUUGGAGACAUUAUCUUCAUCCAAGAGCCUUUCUAGACGGGUGAAGUGGUUUAAGCUCACAAUCCGCGAUAUAUCUUUUGAUUCCAUUGGGUUCCUCCCAAAGCAAUCCUCUAACUCUUUUCUAAGCGCAUCAAUCAAUUUUGGAGCAAAAUCUUUAGUAGUUAUAACAUAGUCGACACCAAUACAAGCUUGGCCAUUGUUGCAUUGCCACUUGCCAGCUAUAAUCCUCCUUGUAGCAACCUGUAAAUUGACAUUUGAAUCAACAAUGGCUGGGCACUUUCCUCCAAGUUCUAGGAUAACAGGUGUAAGGUGUUUCGCUGCAGCUGUCAUCACAAUUCGACCCACUUUUGAACUACCUGUGUAUAAUAUUUUGUCCCAUUUCUGCUCCAGUAAUGCAGAUGUUUCAGGAACAGCCCCUUCAACGACUCUUACUGCAGAUUUGUCAAGAUAUUUAUCAAAUAAAUUUACAAGUAAUGAAGACGUGGCUGGAGAUAUUUCUGAUGGUUUAAGGACCACAGCAUUCCCAGCUGCAAUUGCUCCAAUGACUGGAUCCACCGACAGCAGGAAAGGAAAAUUCCAAGUUGAGAUGACCAACACAACACCCAGAGGUUCUGACACAAUUUCCGCUGAUGAAGGGAAGGUUGAGAUUGAAGUUUUUGCCUUUUCUGGCUUCAUCCAAUGUUUCAAUUCUUUAAGCGCCAAUUCACAAGAUGACUUUGCAUUAGAAAUCUCCGAAAUAAAGGCUUCGAAUUCAGGCUUUGAGAGGUCAUCAUAAAGAGCUUCAGCAAUCUCUUUUUCGUUUUCCACAAUCAUCAUUCUGAUACUCUCCAACUGGGACACUCUCCAAUCGUAACUCUUUGUCUUGUUAGAUUUAAUGUUCCCUCUAAGCUCCUUAACCAGCGAAGCUGCUUCAUUUUCAUCAAAUGAUUUCUUCUCUUCCUCCGCCAUUACCGACAAAGCUGCAGAACAAGAAUAUGAAGAGAAGUUGGGAAGGGAGUGAUGGAUGGAGAGAAAGGAGGCAGACUUCUUAUUGGUCUUACGUACACAACGGCAGGUGAAGGUUCUUCUCACACCAGUAUCAACUGCACUGAAAUUUGGGAAGAGCCCGAUUCGAAGGCCUCUCAUGAUAGGGAGAGCUUUCGCUACUUAUAAAUUAUCUGCACAGAAGCCAGAAAAACCACUCAAAUGAGUCGUUUAAUG
RNAcentral lists this unclassified non-coding RNA (1983 nucleotides) under Hevea brasiliensis (rubber tree). The record is from RNAcentral. Lineage: Eukaryota; Viridiplantae; Streptophyta; Magnoliopsida; Malpighiales; Euphorbiaceae.